UAAUGGGCCUACCAAGGCGAUGAUGCAUAGCCCGAGUUGAGAGACUGAUCGGGCCACAUUGGGGACUGAGACACGGGCCCAAAAACUCCUACGGGGAGGGCAGCAGUAGGGAAUCUUCCACAAUGGACGCAAGUCUGAUGGAGCAACGCCGCGUGAGUGAAGAAGGGUUUCGGCUCGUAAAAGCUCUGUUGUUGGUGAAGAAGGACAGGGUAGUAACUGACCUUUGUUUGACGGUAAUCAAUUAGAAAGUCACGGCUAACUACGUGCCAGCAGCCGCGGUAAU
RNAcentral lists this ribosomal RNA (283 nucleotides) under uncultured Lactobacillus sp. Its description in RNAcentral is "partial 16S ribosomal RNA". It matches the Rfam family "Bacterial small subunit ribosomal RNA", at positions 258 to 524 of the family's 1533-position model. Lineage: Bacteria; Bacillati; Bacillota; Bacilli; Lactobacillales; Lactobacillaceae. The record is from RNAcentral.